GAGGGUAUAGCUCAGUGGUAGAGCGUAUGCUUAGCGUGCAUGAGUUCUUGACAGUACCUCCG
RNAcentral lists this transfer RNA (62 nucleotides) under Camelus bactrianus (Bactrian camel). It matches the Rfam family "tRNA". Rfam says of the family: Transfer RNA (tRNA) molecules are approximately 80 nucleotides in length. Their secondary structure includes four short double-helical elements and three loops (D, anti-codon, and T loops). Further hydrogen bonds mediate the characteristic L-shaped molecular structure. tRNAs have two regions of fundamental functional importance: the anti-codon, which is responsible for specific mRNA codon recognition, and the 3' end, to which the tRNAs corresponding amino acid is attached (by aminoacyl-tRNA synthetases). tRNAs cope with the degeneracy of the genetic code in two manners: having more than one tRNA (with a specific anti-codon) for a particular amino acid; and 'wobble' base-pairing, i.e. permitting non-standard base-pairing at the 3rd anti-codon position. The record is from Rfam by way of RNAcentral. Lineage: Eukaryota; Metazoa; Chordata; Mammalia; Artiodactyla; Camelidae. RNAcentral also lists the same sequence under 2 other names.